UAUCCAAUCCAAAUGUCCAAAUGACAUUCCAAUGUCAUUGGACAUUUGGAUUGCAGA
Molecule: microRNA precursor, 57 nt
Organism: Oreochromis aureus
Lineage: Eukaryota; Metazoa; Chordata; Actinopteri; Cichliformes; Cichlidae
Source: Ensembl